GACGAACGCUGGCGGCGUGCUUAACACAUGCAAGUCAAGGGGGCCCAGCAAUGGGCAACCGGCGAACGGGUGCGUAACACGUGAGCAACCUACCGAACUGUGGGGGAUAGCCGGCCUAACGGCCGAGUAAUACCGCAUACGCUCUCAGUGAGGCAUUUCAUUGAGAGGAAACCUACGGGACAGAUCGAGGGGCUCGCGGCCUAUCAGCUAGUUGGCGAGGUAACGGCNCACCAAGGCAACGACGGGUAGCUGGUCUGAGAGGAUGGCCAGCCACAUUGGGACUGAGAUACGGCCCAGACUCCUACGGGAGGCAGCAGUGGGGAAUCUUGCGCAAUGGCCUAACGGCUGACUCAGCGACGCCGCGUGUGGGAUGAAGCUCUUCGGAGUGUAAACCACUGUUGCCCGGGACGAAUAGCUCGAUUAAUCGAGCCUGACGGUACCGGGUGAGGAAGCACCGGCUAAC
RNAcentral lists this ribosomal RNA (463 nucleotides) under uncultured bacterium. Its description in RNAcentral is "bacterial SSU rRNA". It matches the Rfam family "Bacterial small subunit ribosomal RNA", at positions 28 to 501 of the family's 1533-position model. The record is from RNAcentral.